RNAcentral lists this ribosomal RNA (873 nucleotides) under uncultured archaeon. Its description in RNAcentral is "bacterial SSU rRNA". It matches the Rfam family "Archaeal small subunit ribosomal RNA", at positions 4 to 882 of the family's 1478-position model. The record is from RNAcentral.
CUGGUUGAUCCUGCCAGAGGUUACUGCUAUCGAGGUUCGACUAAGCCAUGCGAGUCGAAUGUAGCAAUACAUGGCGUACUGCUCAGUAACACGUGGACAACCUGCCCUUAGGUCGGGUAUAAACCCGGGAAACUGGGUAUAAUCCCCGAUAGGUCUCAGCUGCUGGAAUGCAUCGAGAUUUGAAGCUCCGGCGCCUAAGGAUGGGUCUGCGGCCUAUCAGGUAGUAGUGGGUGUAGCGUACCUACUAGCCUACGACGGGUACGGGUUGUGAGAGCAAGAGCCCGGAGAUGGAUUCUGAGACACGAAUCCAGGCCCUACGGGGUGCAGCAGGCGCGAAAACUUUACAAUGCUGGCAACAGCGAUAAGGGAACCUCGAGUGCCAGGUUACAAAUCUGGCUGUCGAGAUGCCUAAAAAGCAUUUCAUAGCAAGGGCCGGGCAAGACCGGUGCCAGCCGCCGCGGUAACACCGGCGGCUCGAGUGGUAACCGUUAUUAUUGGGUCUAAAGGGUCUGUAGCCGGCCGGAUAAGUCUCUUGAGAAAUCUGGCAGCUUAACUGUCAGGCUUUCAGGAGAUACUGUCUGGCUCGAGGCCGGGAGAGGUGAGAGGUACUUCAGGGGUAGGGGUGAAAUCUUGUAAUCCUUGAAGGACCACCAGUGGCGAAGGCGUCUCACCAGAACGGACCCGACGGCAAGGGACGAAAGCUAGGGGCACGAACCGGAUUAGAUACCCGGGUAGUCCUAGCCGUAAACGAUACUCGCUAGGUGUCGGCCGCGGUGCGACCGUUGUCAGUGCCGUAGGGAAGCCGUGAAGCGAGCCACCUGGGAAGUACGGCCGCAAGGCUGAAACUUAAAGGAAUUGGCGGGGGAGCACCAC